Molecule: ribosomal RNA, 457 nt
Filed under: uncultured bacterium
Lineage: Bacteria
Description: bacterial SSU rRNA
Rfam family: Bacterial small subunit ribosomal RNA
Source: RNAcentral
AUGGCUCAGGAUGAACGCUAGCGGCAGGCCUAACACAUGCAAGUCGAGGGGUAUAGAGUGCUUGCACUUUAGAGACCGGCGCACGGGUGCGUAACGCGUAUGCAAUCUACCUAUUACAGGGGAAUAGCCCAGAGAAAUUUGGAUUAAUGCCCCAUAGUAUUAUUGAAUGGCAUCAUUUAAUAAUUAAAGAUUUAUCGGUAAUAGAUGAGCAUGCGUACUAUUAGCUAGUUGGUGUGGUAACGGCACACCAAGGCUACGAUAGUUAGGGGCCCUGAGAGGGGGAUCUCCCACACUGGUACUGAGACACGGACCAGACUCCUACGGGAGGCAGCAGUGAGGAAUAUUGGACAAUGGUGGGAACACUGAUCCAGCCAUGCCGCGUGCAGGAAGACUGCCCCAUGGGUUGUAAACUUGCUUUUUUACGGGAAGAAACACUCUCACGUGGAGAGCUUGACGG